Molecule: ribosomal RNA, 773 nt
Filed under: uncultured Streptococcus sp.
Lineage: Bacteria; Bacillati; Bacillota; Bacilli; Lactobacillales; Streptococcaceae
Description: bacterial SSU rRNA
Rfam family: Bacterial small subunit ribosomal RNA
Source: RNAcentral
GACGAACGCUGGCGGCGCGCCUAAUACAUGCAAGUAGAACGCACAGGAUGCACCGUAGUUUACUACACCGUAUUCUGUGAGUUGCGAACGGGUGAGUAACGCGUAGGUAACCUGCCUGGUAGCGGGGGAUAACUAUUGGAAACGAUAGCUAAUACCGCAUAAGAACAUUUACUGCAUGGUAGAUGUUUAAAAGGUGCAAAUGCAUCACUACCAGAUGGACCUGCGUUGUAUUAGCUAGCAGGUGAGGUAACGGCUCACCUAGGCGACGAUACAUAGCCGACCUGAGAGGGUGAUCGGCCACACUGGGACUGAGACACGGCCCAGACUCCUACGGGAGGCAGCAGUAGGGAAUCUUCGGCAAUGGGGGGAACCCUGACCGAGCAACGCCGCGUGAGUGAAGAAGGUUUUCGGAUCGUAAAGCUCUGUUGUUAAGGAAGAACGAGUGUGAGAAUGGAAAGUUCAUACUGUGACGGUACUUAACCAGAAAGGGACGGCUAACUACGUGCCAGCAGCCGCGGUAAUACGUAGGUCCCGAGCGUUGUCCGGAUUUAUUGGGCGUAAAGCGAGCGCAGGCGGUUAGAUAAGUCUGAAGUUAAAGGCAGUGGCUCAACCAUUGUAGGCUUUGGAAACUGUUUAACUUGAGUGCAGAAGGGGAGAGUGGAAUUCCAUGUGUAGCGGUGAAAUGCGUAGAUAUAUGGAGGAACACCGGUGGCGAAAGCGGCUCUCUGGUCUGUAACUGACGCUGAGGCUCGAAAGCGUGGGGAGCGAACAGG